GAUCCCGUAGCUCAGUCGGAUAGAGCACCAGAUUCCUAAUCUGGGGGCCGGUGGUUCAAAUCCACCCGGGGUCGCCA
Molecule: transfer RNA, 77 nt
Filed under: Algimonas arctica
Lineage: Bacteria; Pseudomonadati; Pseudomonadota; Alphaproteobacteria; Maricaulales; Robiginitomaculaceae
Also listed under: 1 other name
Description: tRNA-Arg
Rfam family: tRNA
About the family: Transfer RNA (tRNA) molecules are approximately 80 nucleotides in length. Their secondary structure includes four short double-helical elements and three loops (D, anti-codon, and T loops).
Source: RNAcentral